UCGCUUCUGGACGUUAGACGCGAGACCGGUCAGACUCCUACGGGAGGCAGCAGUGGGGAAUAUUGGACAAUGGGCGAAAGCCUGAUCCAGCCAUGCCGCGUGUGUGAAGAAGGUCUUCGGAUUGUAAAGCACUUUAAGUUGGGAGGAAGGGCCAUUACCUAAUACGUGAUGGUUUUGACGUUACCGACAGAAUAAGCACCGUCUUACUCUGUGCCGCAGCGCGGAAACGAGGUCGCGUAUCGGGUCGGCAAUUACGGGGGGGGGCGGGGGGUCGGGGUACUAAAAAGUUAAAAAACCCCCGGCAAAACCUGGGAACGCUUUCAAAACUGUCGAGCUAGAGUAUGGUAGAGGGUGGUGGAAUUUCCUGUCCACCGGCGAUAUGCUUAGUUCUUUUACGCGGCCCCUUGGAGCACGCGAUCCUUUUUGGUUGAA
RNAcentral lists this ribosomal RNA (432 nucleotides) under Pseudomonas grimontii. RNAcentral's name for it is "partial 16S ribosomal RNA". It matches the Rfam family "Bacterial small subunit ribosomal RNA", at positions 300 to 738 of the family's 1533-position model. Lineage: Bacteria; Pseudomonadati; Pseudomonadota; Gammaproteobacteria; Pseudomonadales; Pseudomonadaceae. The record is from RNAcentral.